UGGGAGUCCAGACAUUUUGUAGCCCAUGCUGUGAAAGAAGCAUACCAUUAUCCAUCUUCUUCCCCAUGGUAACAUCGCUGUUUCACCCAAGGGCCACUUCAACCCACCAUCAUUAACUAUGAAGACCCAAGUAGUUGAGGACCCAAGGAAAAGAAAAUGCACUUUGCAUGAAUGGUUUGGACGGACUGAAGACCUUUCCUUCCCUUGACGUAUAAAAUACAGACUGUCAGCUCUGAUGUCCCACCUCUGGCCCGUCUCAGCUUGAAAAGGUCAGAAAAGGUUUGUCCGUGUGGAGGGAAAGUUCAUGUUCAGACUGCUGUUCUGCGGCAGAGGAACAUGUUCACUAAAGCAUUAACAUGAAAAACACAGCUCCUAUAAAGAGGCGUAUUUGUCA
Xenopus tropicalis (tropical clawed frog) is the source of this 394-nucleotide long non-coding RNA. RefSeq lists it as uncharacterized. The transcript is spliced from 3 exons. Lineage: Eukaryota; Metazoa; Chordata; Amphibia; Anura; Pipidae. The record is from RefSeq and is a predicted model, not a curated record.